CCGUCAGAUCUAGGAAGUCAAGCGUGUUCAGGCUGGGCCAGUAGUACGGUGGGUGACCACGUGCGAAGCCCCAGUGACGAUCGUU
RNAcentral lists this ribosomal RNA (85 nucleotides) under Vigna angularis (adzuki bean). The record is from RNAcentral. Lineage: Eukaryota; Viridiplantae; Streptophyta; Magnoliopsida; Fabales; Fabaceae.